UACAGAGGGUGCGAGCGUUAAUCGGAAUUACUGGGCGUAAAGCGUGCGUAGACGGUUAUUUAAGUCGGGUGUGAAAGCCCCGGGCUCAACCUGGGAAUUGCAUUCGAGACUGAAUAGCUAGGGUACGGUAGAGGGAAGCGGAAUUUCCGGUGUAGCGGUGAAAUGCGUAGAUAUCGGAAGGAACAUCAGUGGCGAAGGCGGGUUGCUGGGCUGACACUGACGCUGAGGCGCGAAAGCUAGGGGAGCGAACGGG
RNAcentral lists this ribosomal RNA (253 nucleotides) under uncultured bacterium. Its description in RNAcentral is "partial 16S ribosomal RNA". It matches the Rfam family "Bacterial small subunit ribosomal RNA", at positions 524 to 776 of the family's 1533-position model. The record is from RNAcentral.